Molecule: long non-coding RNA, 9091 nt
Filed under: Lactuca sativa (garden lettuce)
Lineage: Eukaryota; Viridiplantae; Streptophyta; Magnoliopsida; Asterales; Asteraceae
Description: long non-coding RNA (LSAT_LNC004389)
Source: RNAcentral
UUGAAUUGAUGCAAUUCCAUCAAAUUACACUUUGCACCCUUGCUGAGAAGUUAGUGGAGCGUGUCUGGUUUACCGGCACGCUAAUUGGUUCUAAGCAAAGGUGGAAAAGGGUGAUACAUUGUUUGUCAUCGUUCGAUAGACUGUGUGUGGUUUACCGGCACGUCGAAUAGGUGACUGUAACAAUGAAGGCACCAUGUAGAUUUGCAUGGUUAUUCACACCUACUUUGUGAUCCUCGGCAUCCCAGUCACAAACGAGAGGGGCAUAUCGAUAUUUAAACAUGCCAUUGAAAAGUUCAAUGAAUCUCCAAGAAAACCUAGGAAUUCUCAAUACAUUUAAAACUUAAGCUUAUGUUUUUCACGGUGAAGAAUUAGUGAAUCGUCAUUCACUUACCUCCAAGUUAUUUAUGUGUUGGAUUACGGCAUCCCUUUUCUAAUGUGUGAAUAAUGUUGUUGGUUCCUAGCCCUAGUUUUUCAUUUUGGGUGUUUAAUUAGGAAUUUAAUUCUAAUCAAACUUUGUCCUUUCUAUUUGUAGAUGUCUAACGCGAACAACACUGCUGCUAACUCAUUCACGCUAAUGAGUCUUUGUCAAAAAGUGACUUUCGAUGGAUCGAACUUUAGCGAAUGGAUAAGAUACAUUGGCACGAUUGCGCGUACGAGGACAAAGAGUAUGUCCUCGACGAAAAGCUCGAAAAGGUCAAUCCAGAAAUCGCUACUCCCGAAGAAAUAGUUGUCUUUGAGACCCAUGAAUGUGAUGCAACGAAAGUCCAUUGCAUCAUGAUAGCCACAAUGUACCAAGAAUUCCAAAAGUCCUAUGAGGACAUGUAUCCGUAUGAAAUGCAUCAAGACUUAAUGUAGAGGUACCACCAAAGCACGAACAUGAUCACCGCUAAGACAGGAAGUGGAGAAUCUUUAACCGUGUACUUGCAAAAGAUGCAAAGAUAUGUUGAUCGUCUUCGCAAGUUGAAUGUUAACUUUGGGGAAGAUUUGGCCAUCGACAUUGUUCUUCACUCCUUGCCCUCAUGCUACAACCAAUUUAGGAUGACCUACCACAUGAACAAGGAAGAGGUCACCCUAAGCAAACUCCAAGGGCUCCUAAGGACUGCUGAGAGCAACCUCAAGGAAAAGUUUAUUGCACCAACUCCCGCUCCACCUGCUGCUCCUGUUUUGGCAAUUGGGUAAAGAAGGGGCAAGAAGAGGAAGUCUCCGUCAAAUAGCCACCACAAGGGAAAGUCCCAAGAUGGUUCCUCUUCUAGUGGGACCAAGGAUGGCCCUGCUAAGCCCAACUCUAACCCAAAGGAGUCAGAGUGCCACUAUUGCCACAAAAUAGGGCAUUGGAAGAGAAAUUGCCCAGAAUAUCUGCAAGUUAUCAAGGAUGGGAAGAUCAAGCCAUCUUUCGUAGGUAUUUACACAAUUAAAUCUAAUGAUUCAUCUCAUGCUAUUUCUUGGGUUCUUGAUACAGGAUGUGGUUACCAUAUUUGUUCUAAUUUGCAGGGACUAAGACGAAAUAGGGAUGUGGAGUGUGGAAGAAUAAAUCUAAUCAUGGGAAACAGAAGAUCGUCGUCUGUCAGCAAGAUUGGAGUGUAUUCUCUAGUGCUUAGUAAUGGAUUAGGUUUAGAUUUAAAUAAUUGUUGCUACUCGCCAGAUAUGGCAAGAAACAUCAUUUCGUUUCCUGGUUUGUUUAGACAAGGAUUUAGAUAUUCGUUUAAUAAUGAGAAUGGUUCUAUUUAUGCUUAUCUAAAUGGUGUUUUAUAUUUUAAAGCGAUGCCUUGUAAUGGAAUUUAUGAAACAGUUAUGGUUGUAGAUAACCUAGGAAAUGAUGUGUUGUGUAUGGAUUCUUCCAAUAGUAUGGAUAAAGCAUGUUUGUGGCAUUGUCGUCUUGGACAUGUCAACAAGAAGCGCAUAGCCCAACUCCAAAAGGAUGGAGUGUUGGAGUCAUUCGACCUUAGGGAAGAUAACACGUCUGAAUCUUGUUUACUUGGAAAGAUGACCAAGACACCCUUCACUGGCACUUGUGAGAGGGGUGAGGGUUUAUUUGAUCGCAUACAUACCGAUGUGUGUGGGCCUUUUAGAUCCACCACAAAGGAUGCGAACCGUGUCUACGUGACUUUCACCGAUGAUUAUAGUAGAUAUGGGUAUAUUUACUUAAUCAAGCACAAGUGAGAAACGUUUGAAAAGUUCAAAGAGUUCAAAAAUGAAGUGGAGAAUCAAUUGGGCAGGAAAACCAAGAUGCUUCGAUCCGAUAGAGGAGGAGAGUACCUAUGUCUUGAAUUCCACGACUAUCUAAAGGAAUGCGGAAUAGUUUCGCAAUUAACGCCACCUAGGACACCGCAGUUGAAUGGUGUGGCAGAAAGACGUAAUCGAACCUUGUUAGACAUGGUUCGUUCUAUGAUGAGUCGUGCUUCACUACCUAUCUCAUUCUGGGGGUAUGCCUUAGAGACUGCCGCCCAUAUCCUUAACCGAGUCCCUACAAAGAAGGCUGCCAAAACACCUCAUGAGAUGUGGACAGGGAAAGCUCCCUCGUUGGCACAAAUCAAGGUUUGGGGCUGUGAAGUUUUCGUAAGACGAGAUACUCACGACAAACUCCAACCUCGUAGUGAGCGAUGUAUUUUCAUCGGCUACCCGCAGAGAUCCUUUGGAUAUCUCUUCUAUAGACCGAGUGACAAUGUUGUCUUCGUUGCGAGAAAAGGGGUUUUCCGAGAGCGAGAACUAAUAAACCAAGGAGACAGUGGAAGGCAGACCAAUAUUGAAGAGAUUCAAGAGUCGAGUGAUGAAGGAACCUCUACCACUAGCGCUCUACCCGAGGAGGAAACUCCGGUUGAACCAAUUGACGAGUCCUUACCUCUUAGACGUUCCGAAACAGAUAGAGUUCAACCGCAAUUUUAUGGUUUUCAUAUUACUACUGAAUGGGACACGUAUAUUAGUGAUGAUACACUAAUAAAUCUAGAUGAACCUAAUAGCUAUAAGGAAACCAUGGCAGGCCCAGAGUCUACAAAAUGGAAAGAGGCGAUGGACAGCGAGAUUCAGUCCAUGUAUGACAACCAAGUUUGGAAUUUGGUUGAUAAUAUGCCCAGACGUAAGAGGGCUGGGUGCAAAUCUAGAUGAACCUAAUAGCUAUAAGGAAACCAUGGCAGGCCCAGAGUCUACAAAAUGGAAAGAGGCGAUGGACAGCGAGAUUCAGUCCAUGUAUGACAACCAAGUUUGGAAUUUGGUUGAUAAUAUGCCCAGACGUAAGAGGGCUGGGUGCAAAUCUAGAUGAACCUAAUAGCUAUAAGGAAACCAUGGCAGGCCCAGAGUCUACAAAAUGGAAAGAGGCGAUGGACAGCGAGAUUCAGUCCAUGUAUGACAACCAAGUUUGGAAUUUGGUUGAUAAUAUGCCCAGACGUAAGAGGGUUGGGUGCAAAUGGAUCUUCAAGAAGAAGACCGACGUGGAUGGGAAUGUACACACGUAUAAGGCGCAAUUGGUUGCGAAGAGCUUUAAUCAAACUCCUGGAGUUGACUAUGAUGAGACCUUCUCACUAGUUGCGAAAAUAAAGUCUACAAGGUUGAUGCUAGCCAUUGUUGCAUUUCAUGAUUAUGAGAUAUGGAAGAUGGAUGUCAAGACCACUUUCCUUAAUGGGAAGUUGACUGAGGAUGUUUACAUAGCUCAGCCAGAGGGUUUUGUCGAUGCCAAUCAUCCCAAUAGAGUGUGCAAGCUUGAGAAGUCCAUUUAUGGACUUAAGCAAGCAUCUCGCAGAUGGAAUCUUUGCUUUGAUGAGAAAGUCAAAGAGUUUGGAUUUGUACGAAGCGAAGAUGAAUCAUGUGUAUAUGUCAAAGCCAGUGGGAGUAUAGUUAGCUUCCUCGUUUUGAAUGUUGAUGACAUACUGCUCAUGGGAAACGACAUCCCGACUUUGCAGGAAGUUAAGUCCUGGCUUGGGAAGUGUUUUGCUAUAAAGGACCUCAGAGAGGCUUCCUAUAUUUUGGGAAUAACGAUAGUGAGAGAACGAAGUAAGAGACUAAUAGGACUUAGUCAGAAUACUUACUUAGAUAAGGUACUAAAAUGUUUUAGUAUGGAAAACUUGAAGAAGGGAGAAUUACCGAUACAAAGUAAUACCAAAUUGAGUAAGACUUAAAGUCUGAGCACCAAAGCCGAGAUAGCUGAUAUGAGCCGAGUACCUUACACUUCCGCAGUUGGCUCGAUAAUGUAUGCUAUGAAUUGUACUCACCCGAAUGUGGCCUUUUCUGUGAGCAUGGUCAGUAGAUAUCAAGGGAACCCUGGUAGAGCUCAUUGGAUUGCGGUCAAGAAUAUCCUUAUGUACCUUCGGAGGACCAAGGAAUGGUUUUUAGUCCUCGGAGGGAGUGAUGACUUAAAGGUGCGAGGGUAUAGUGACGCCAGCUUCCAGACCGACAGGGACAACUACCGUUCGCAGUCGGGCUGGGUCUUUACCCUNGAGCAGUAACUUGGAAAAGUUCCAAGCAGGAAACUGUAGCUGAUUCAACAUACGAAUCUGAGUACAUUGCAGCGAGCGAAGCGUCAAAGGAGGCAAUAUGGUUAAAGAACUUCAUUGGUGACCUUGGAGUUGUGCCUGCCAUAAAGGAGCCUAUGGAAAUUUUAUGUGAUAAUGAAGGAGCGGUUGCCUUGACUAAGGAACCAAGGGAUCAUGGUAGAUCUCGGCAUUUCGACAGAAUGUAUCACUUUAUUAGACAUCGAGUAGAAGAAGGACACCUCGUAGUUAAGAGGAUAUCAUCGGAAGAUAACCCAGCAGAUCCGCUUAUGAAAGGACUAAGUAGGGUUAAGCACUUGCAGCACGCUAGGAGCAUUGGGCUGAAGGAUGAUGUUAGUUUUGAUUAGAUAGUUUGGAAACUUGUAAUAGAUAAAUGUAAUUGACAUUUGAUGAUUAAAUAAAGGAGUAUUAUUUAAAAGGUUUUUUCUUAUGUUAAUUGUUUAACAAUUGUUUCACUUUGCAUGUUUUGACUUCCAGAAUAAUUGAGUUUAUUAAGAAUAAUCGAAUUAUUCAAACAGUCCACAAUCGUUCAUAUGUUGGAAGUAUGUAUGAACGAAGAUUGUCAUGAAUUGGUGUGUAGAUUGUCUAAAUGGUAUUACACAUAGCAAAGGUUUGCUACAACGUUCAUGAGUGCUUAUGAACAAAGUUUUGAGCAUUGGAAUAAACCCGCGAUUGCUGGAAUCACUUUAUGGAAUGUACCGCAAGUGAUCGCAAGACGAUAAUAUCAUAUGGUCUUAAAACCAAGAUAUAUGGUUUAUUGUUUACUAAUUAGUUGUGCAUUGAUAAUGUGAAACCGCAUCAGUAAAUUAAUGUCAUAAAACACAUUGUUGUGUAUAGUUGAUUAGUGAAUAGUAAAUGCAUAUCAGUCGAAGUUUAUCUGUUACUUUUAUCCUAAGAGGGAAAAAAGCGAUAUCACGUCCGCUCGAUGAUUUGAUUUGACUUAUGUGUCAGGCUCGGUCAGGAUUAAAUUGAUGUGUUCAAUUAAGUUCGAUGACAAAUAAAUCUGAGAUCGAGAAACCAAUUUCUAGACAAUAAUUAUGACAAUAUUUCAUGAGAUUGUCUGCACGAUAUCAAAACAGAGGACUGUACAAUCCUUUAUCUAAAGGAUAGGAUACUGAUAAGAUCAAAGUAGACAGCAUAUUUGAGAGCUACGAUUGCUAAUCGUAUUGUGUUUGCAUUUAUAGUUACUAGAAUUAUCCAAGUGGGAGACUGUUGGAUUAGUGUCUAAGGUUGUAACUAUAUUUGGUAAGUACUUGACCCGAUUAUGCAUGGUCCUUUUGGGUUGCCUUCACCAUAGCAACUUGACAGGAUGAUUUAUAUAGAGAGAAGAUAUAUUAUUAUUAAUGUAUUAUAAGAAUAAUAUAUUACAGGAAUAAUAAUAUUAUUUGAUUGAUAUAAGUCAUAAAUUCAUUAGGAAUUAAUUUGGUGGCUUAAAGAGGCGAAUUGAAUAAAGGGGCAUAAACUGUCAACUGUAUGAUAGUUGUGUUUUGGGCUAUGAAUUCUUAUGGAUAUUGAGGGGGACAAUUUUUAGAGAUAAAGAUAUCUUAAAAUCGUCCAAGCUAUUAUCUAGAAGGAUCUUUGUAUUGCUUAGAGGCUAAGUUAUUCAAUUAGGGUUAAGGGUGUAACCCUAGUAGCUCAUAGUAUAAAUAGACCCCAUAGGUGGAGGAAAUUGGCCACUCUUUGAUUGAAGAAACCCUAGGGCCGAUUUCUCACUUCUCUUUCUCUCUCAAAUCAUCUCCUUGCUAGUUGGUUUUUGUAAGCCAUUAGAGGAGUGACAAUUGUGACUUUAAGCUCCAAGAACAAGAAGUUUCAAGCAAGCAACUCAAGUUAUUCUUCUAGAUCUGUUUUUCAUAUGUUAUGAAUUUUUUGUUUACAUUAGAUCUAUGAAUGAAAGCCUUGGAUACAUUGCAUGUUCAAUUAGAGAAACCUAGAUCCAAGCAUUAGGGUUUGCAUGUGUACAUAGGAAAGUUCUUAUGGCUCAAACUCAUCAGCUUCAUCUAGAGGUAUAAAAUUCAAAACUUUGCUCUUUAUCUGGUUAGCUGAUUGCAUGGACCAUUUCUAGGGUUAAAAGUCCCAAAGGUGGAGACUUUAUGAGUGUAAUGUACUCCAUGGACCUAGAUCUGUCCCAUUUCAGUGAUAUUUGUGUUAUAGAUCCAUAAAGUUUCCAUCUUGGUCGUUGUUAUGAGGUCAUGCUUGAGUUAUGAGCUUUUUAGAGUUGGGAAAUGAAAUGUUAUGGGAGUUAGUGACUUAUCCGGCCAUGCAAAGGCUUAAAGUCACCAACUUUAUGGAUUAAGAGGCUUAGAAAUGGUCUGAUCAAGAAGUUGGACGUGGGUCUUAACAAUUUAAAACCUCAAGAGCUUAGAGUCUGAAACUGGGGUUUACGCGGGGCGUAAUCUCAGUACUCACGGCGUAAGGGGUCGUGCACCCCGUUUCUGUGAGGACGUCGGGUACGCCCAACGUACAUGUUUGGUACGCGUAGCGUAACCUGGGGAGUUGACUUUUGUUGACUUUUAGGGUUUGGUCAACUUUAGGGUCUUUGAGCCAUGGGAGGGGUAAAAUGGUCUUUUACCCUUCUAAGAGUACUAAGAGAAGGAACUGUUGGAUUAGUAUCUAAGGUUGUAACUAUAAUUGGUAAGUACUUGACCCGGUUGUGCAUGGUCCUUUUGGGUUGCCUUCACCAUAGCAACUUGACAGGGUGAUUUAUAUAGAGAGAAGAGAUAUUAUUAUUAAUGUAUUAUAAGAAUAAUAUGUUAAAGGAAUAAUAAUAUUAUUUGAUUAAUAUAAGUCAUAAAUUAAUUAGGAAUUAAUUUGGUGACUUAAAGAGAUUAAUUGAAUAAAGGGGCAUAAACUGUCAAAUGUGUAAUAGUUGUAUUUUUGGGCUAUGAAUCCUUAUGGAUAUAGGCGGGGACGAUUUUAAGACAUGGAUAUCUUAGAAAUCGUCCAAGGCCUUAUCUAGAGGGAUCUUUGGAUUGCUUUGAGGCUAAGUUAUCCAAUUAGGGUUUAAGGUGAAACCCUAGGAGCUCAUAGUAUAAAUAGACCCUUAGGGUUGGAGAAAUCGGCCACUCUAUGAUUGAGAAUACCCUAGAGCCGAUUUCUCACCUCUCUCCCUCUCUCAAAUCAUCUUCUUGCUAGUAGGGGUUUGUAAGAUAUUAUAGGAGUGACAAUUGUGACUCUCAGCUCCAAGAAGAAGAAGUUUUCAAGCAAGUAACAACAAGGUAUUCUUUUAGAUCUGAUUUCAUAUGUUAUGAUUGUUUGUUUACAUUAGAUCUAGCCAUGAAAGUCUUGGAUAUAUUGCAUGUUCAAUUUGAGAAACCUAGAUCCAAGCUUGAGGGUUUUCAUAUGCACAUAGGAAAGUUCUUAUGGCUCAAACCCAUCAGUGGUAUCUGAGCCUUGAUUGGUUUCAAUUGAAUUUGAUGCUUAACUGUUUUGCUUGCUGAAAACCAUUUUUCUUGGCCUCUGUCCGACCCAACUCGGCGAGUCAGUGUCUGGACUCGGCAAGUUGGCCCUACUCGGCGAGUCCGAGCGUCAGACAGAGGAUAAUUCAGGAUUUUGUUGCUGUUUUGUCUUGGAUUUGAUACCUAAAUCGUUUUAUUAUGUGAAAAUCCGAAUUUUGACUUAAGUUAAUGAUUAUCCUUGACAUAACAAUAGAUAAUUUCAAAUCUUUUGAAUAUUGAUUACUUAUAUGAUAAAUAUGGACUAUUUAAAAUUAUUUGGUAAUUUUCUAAUGACUAAAAUUGGAUUAGGUCAAAUAUAGAUAAUUAUGAAAUUAAUUGUUUGAUUUGAGUUAUUUGUUAUUUGAUCCCUUUAGUUUUAAAAAGUUCAAAAUUUAUCCCGAAGUUUUGAAAUUUGAAUUUUGUGAUUAAAAGUUUAAUUUAGAAGAAUUUAAAUUUUAACCCCUAGAGAUUUACAAGUUUAAAAUUCAACCCUAUACUAUUAUAUUAUUAAAAGCUUAAUGAAUAUAUAAGUAUAAUUAAAAUGCUAGUCUUACUGAUAGUAGGUCUCGUUCACGAAGCCGGUCUAUAAGGUGGGUAUAAGGUUGCUGCCUACAAAAUGGCGCUUAAUGCGUGUACACUCACACCCACUACUUGCUUGACUGGUGGAGAGUCGUUAGCCGAACGGGUAGGAUAGGGAAACUCUCUCUCCUCAUUAAAAGUAUAAUGUUAAAAUAUAAAGUAACUACAUGUUUUUCAAAAUUUCCAAUCCUAGUUACUAUUGGCAAAAGUGAAUUGAUGCAAUCCCAUGAAAUUACACUUUGCACCCUUGCUGAGAAGUUAGUGGAGCGUGUGUGGUUUACCGGCACGCUAAUUGGUUCUAAUAAAAGUUGGAAAAGGGUGAUUCAUUGUUUGUCAUAGUUCGAUGGAGCGUGUGUGGUUUACCGGCACAUUGAAUAGGUGACUGUAACAAUGAAGGCGUUGUGUAGAUUUGCAUGGUUAUUCACACCUACUUUGUGAUCCUCGGUAUCCCAGUCACAAACAAGAGGGGCAUAUCGAGAUUUAAACAUGCCAUUGAAAAGUUCAAUGAAUCUACUGGAAAACCUAGGAAUUCUCAAUACAUUUAAAACUUAAGGUUAUGUUUUUCAUGGUGAAGAAUUAGUGAAUCGUCAUUCACUU